This is a non-coding RNA of Pelobates cultripes (western spadefoot toad), 503 nucleotides long. Lineage: Eukaryota; Metazoa; Chordata; Amphibia; Anura; Pelobatidae. The record is from the annotation of a GenBank genome assembly.
GCUUUCAUUGCGUUUGUUUGCUUAUUUCCAGAAAUGAUGUCUGAAUUGAGUGACUCCUUGCAUUCUCCAAGAAACUUAAAUUCUCAGAUGUCAGUUUAAGUAAAGAUUUUUUUAUUUUUUUUUAAGGUAUGUCUGUCUUUCCAUAUCUGUACAAAUGUGUGUCUAUCCAAACACACAAAUCUAAUGUGCAGCACAUCUGUUGUCUGUGUGUCUGGCCUAGUGCUCUGUAAUUUUAUUUUGAUAUUAUCCAGACGCACACAUGCAGCCUAUUAUAAGACAGAAUGUAUAUAUUAUGUGAGUCACUGCACCAUGAGGUUUACACAUGUUUAGCUACAGAUGUGAAGUGUGGAAGAAAAGCUUAUUUUUAAAGCAUCAAUGACUGGCAGAGUUUAGAUUUCACAUAUACUGUAUUUCUGGAUGAAAUUAGAACUCACAGCUAUAUUUCAUGCAUUUUCAGUACAGUGUAAAAAUGUAGAAAUAUAGAUUUUGACAACACAGAAAAG